UAAAAGGCGGCGUAAGCUGUCGCUAUGGGAUGGCCCCGCGGUGCAUUAGCUAGUUGGUAAGGUAAAGGCUUACCAAGGCGAUGAUGCAUAGCCGAGUUGAGAGACUGAUCGGCCACAUUGGGACUGAGACACGGCCCAAACUCCUACGGGAGGCAGCAGUAGGGAAUCUUCCACAAUGGACGCAAGUCUGAUGGAGCAACGCCGCGUGAGUGAAGAAGGUUUUCGGAUCGUAAAGCUCUGUUGUUGGUGAAGAAGGAUAGAGGUAGUAACUGGCCUUUAUUUGACGGUAAUCAACCAGAAAGUCACGGCUAACUACGUGCCAGCAGCCGCGGUAAUACGUAGGUGGCAAGCGUUGUCCGGAUUUAUUGGGCGUAAAGCGAGCGCAGGCGGAAGAAUAAGUCUGAUGUGAAAGCCCUCGGCUUAACCGAGGAACUGCAUCGGAAACUGUUUUUCUUGAGUGCAGAAGAGGAGAGUGGAACUCCAUGUGUAGCGGUGGAAUGCGUAGAUAUAUGGAAGAACACCAGUGGCGAAGGCGGCUCUCUGGUCUGCAACUGACGCUGAGGCUCGAAAGCAUGGGUAGCGAACAGGAUUAGAUACCCUGGUAGUCCAUGCCGUAAACGAUGAGUGCUAAGUGUUGGGAGGUUUCCGCCUCUCAGUGCUGCAGCUAACGCA
Molecule: ribosomal RNA, 672 nt
Filed under: uncultured bacterium
Lineage: Bacteria
Description: bacterial SSU rRNA
Rfam family: Bacterial small subunit ribosomal RNA
Source: RNAcentral